CAGUUUAGGAAGGCUCCCGGGGCUGGCAUUGCUGCAUAGCUCAACCCCCAGGCAUCUGUUUACCACUGUCACAGCAGUUCACUCAAACUGUGCACUCUCUAAAUAAAGACCUUGCUUUGAUUAUAAUUUCCAUGAACAUGAAAACUCCCAAGUCUUAAUCCUGAAAGAAGGAGGCCAUUUCCAGCAGUCGGAAAAGAUUACAGUCCAGGUAAAAAGGAUGCUCGACUACCCUAAUCUUGUGGGUUGUGUCCUGUGGGCUGGUUUUGGCUGGAAUUCUACAGGUGAAAUGACUGCAGCCUUCUGUCUGCGAGGAGCCUUUGUUAUCUCCACACCUUGGGAAAAUGGUCUGUGGAUACGUGUUUUUUGAAAAAAGAGUAUGGCGGUAUAGGAUCC
RNAcentral lists this long non-coding RNA (393 nucleotides) under Equus caballus (horse). RNAcentral describes it as "lncRNA (ENSECAG00000055856.1)". The record is from RNAcentral. Lineage: Eukaryota; Metazoa; Chordata; Mammalia; Perissodactyla; Equidae.